Molecule: ribosomal RNA, 495 nt
Filed under: uncultured bacterium
Lineage: Bacteria
Description: partial 16S ribosomal RNA
Rfam family: Bacterial small subunit ribosomal RNA
Source: RNAcentral
UGAACGCUGGCGGCGUGCCUAAUACACGCAAGUCGAGCGAACGGACGCGAAGCUUGCUUCUCUGAUGUUAGCGGCGGACGGGUGAGUAACACGUGGAUAACCUACCUAUAAGACUGGGAUAACUUCGGGAAACCGGAGCUAAUACCGGAUGAUAUUUUGAACCGCAUGGUUCAAAAGUGAAAGACGGUCUUGCUGUCACUUAUAGAUGGAUCCGCGCUGCAUUAGCUAGUUGGUAAGGUAACGGCUUACCAAGGCAACGAUGCAUAGCCGACCUGAGAGGGUGAUCGGCCACACUGGAACUGAGACACGGUCCAGACUCCUACGGGAGGCAGCAGUAGGGAAUCUUCCGCAAUGGGCGAAAGCCUGACGGAGCAACGCCGCGUGAGUGAUGAAGGUCUUCGGAUCGUAAAACUCUGUUAUUAGGGAAGAACAUAUGUGUAAGUAACUGUGCACAUCUUGACGGUACCUAAUCAGAAAGCCACGGCUAACUACGUG